CGGGGUGCAGCAGGCGCGAAAACUUUACAAUGCUGGCAACAGCGAUAAGGGGACCUUGAGUGCCAGGAUACAAUCCUGGCUGUCGUGAUGCCUAAAAAGCAUUAUAUAGCAAGGGCCGGGCAAGACCGGUGCCAGCCGCCGCGGUAACACCGGCGGCUCGAGUGGUAACCGCUAUUAUUGGGUCUAAAGGGUCUGUAGCCGGCUUGGUUAGUCUCUUGGGAAAUCCGGCAGCUUAACUGUCGGGCUUUCAGGAGAUACUGCCAGGCUCGAGACCGGGAGAGGUGAGAGGUACUUCAUGGGUAGGGGUGAAAUCUUGUAAUCCUUGAAGGACCACCAGUGGCGAAGGCGUCUCACCAGAACGGAUCUGACGGCAAGGGACGAAAGCUAGGGGCACGAACCGGAUUAGAUACCCGGGUAGUCCUAGCCGUAAACGAUACUCGCUAGGUGUCGGCCACGGUGCGACCGUGGUCGGUGCCGUAGGGAAGCCGUGAAGCGAGCCACCUGGGAAGUACGGCCGCAAGGCUGAAACUUAAAGGAAUUGGCGGGGGAGCACAAGGGCGAUUCGCGG
This 568-nucleotide ribosomal RNA is filed under the name uncultured archaeon. RNAcentral describes it as "bacterial SSU rRNA". It matches the Rfam family "Archaeal small subunit ribosomal RNA", at positions 326 to 900 of the family's 1478-position model. The record is from RNAcentral.